RNAcentral lists this ribosomal RNA (254 nucleotides) under uncultured Lactobacillus sp. RNAcentral's name for it is "partial 16S ribosomal RNA". It matches the Rfam family "Bacterial small subunit ribosomal RNA", at positions 109 to 354 of the family's 1533-position model. Lineage: Bacteria; Bacillati; Bacillota; Bacilli; Lactobacillales; Lactobacillaceae. The record is from RNAcentral.
AGUAACACGUGGGGAACCUGCCCCAUAGUCUGGGAUACCACUUGGAAACAGGUGCUAAUACCGGAUAAGAAAGCGGAUCGCAUGAUCAGCUUUUAAAAGGCGGCGUAAGCUGUCGCUAUGGGAUGGCCCCGCGGUGCAUUAGCUAGUUGGUAAGGUAAAGGCUUACCAAGGCGAUGAUGCAUAGCCGAGUUGAGAGACUGAUCGGCCACAUUGGGACUGAGACACGGCCCAAACUCCUACGGGAGGCAGCAGGG